UGCAUCUCAGUUGCCAACUCCCGAAGAGUUGACCAUAAAUGCCCUCGAAGGGAGAAGUGAGGGCUACCAUACACCGCAGUUAACACCUAAGGAACCCUGUCAUUACCUUUAACUUGGAUUGCCACUAACACCAAAUGCCACCAGCUAUGCCCCUGGCCUCAACUUUGGCCACACCAUCAAAGCUCAUCAAGCUAAUUACAUUGUCUGCCUUUUCACCACUUACUUGCGUUUCAACCAAAAUAAGUAAAGACGAUGAAUACAUCUCUUUGAAGUCUUUGAUCAAUUGUCUGAAGCCUUUCGCAUUGGCACCUCUACAAUUCCAACUCAAAAUAUUCAUCAACUAAGAAUAUGAAGUGUAGGGUUUGAAAGCCCCAUACCGUCCUUCUGCAAAUCACCCUCAUUUUCCAGACUUGAUUGCACUCUUUCUUUCUAAACCCCACUUCCCUGCAAAUAAAUUGGGGUUUCAAGAACCACUUGGUAAUCCUCCAGCAUAUGGCAUAUGACAUAUGUGAUCCUGACUGACUGACAUAGUCUUUUUUUGGCUAAUCCCUUGUAGCAUUCCCUUGAGCGAAUCUGGUACCUGACUCAAUUCAUGAGCUUCUACUUAU
Molecule: long non-coding RNA, 608 nt
Filed under: Lupinus angustifolius (narrow-leaved blue lupine)
Lineage: Eukaryota; Viridiplantae; Streptophyta; Magnoliopsida; Fabales; Fabaceae
Description: long non-coding RNA (LANG_LNC002574)
Source: RNAcentral